RNAcentral lists this ribosomal RNA (814 nucleotides) under uncultured bacterium. RNAcentral's name for it is "bacterial SSU rRNA". It matches the Rfam family "Bacterial small subunit ribosomal RNA", at positions 636 to 1449 of the family's 1533-position model. The record is from RNAcentral.
UNUGACUUGAGUGCAGAAGGGGAGAAUGGAAUUCCAUGUGUAGCGGUGAAAUGCGUAGAUAUAUGGAGGANCACCAGUGGCGAAAGCGGCUCUCUGNUCUGUCACUGACGCUGAGGCUCGAAAGCGUGGGUAGCGAACAGGAUUAGAUACCCUGGUAGUCCACGCCGUAAACGAUGAGUGCUAGGUGUUAGGCCCUUUCCGGGGCUUAGUGCCGGAGCUAACGCAAUAAGCACUCCGCCUGGGGAGUACGACCGCAAGGUUGAAACUCAAAGGAAUUGACGGGGGCCCGCACAAGCGGUGGAGCAUGUGGUUUAAUUCGAAGCAACGCGAAGAACCUUACCAGGUCUUGACAUCCCGAUGCUAUUCUUAGAGAUAGGAAGUUACUUCGGUACAUCGGAGACAGGUGGUGCAUGGUUGUCGUCAGCUCGUGUCGUGAGAUGUUGGGUUAAGUCCCGCAACGAGCGCAACCCUUAUUGUUAGUUGCCAUCAUUAAGUUGGGCACUCUAGCGAGACUGCCGGUAAUAAACCGGAGGAAGGUGGGGAUGACGUCAAAUCAUCAUGCCCCUUAUGACCUGGGCUACACACGUGCUACAAUGGUCGGUACAACGAGUUGCGAGCCGGUGACGGCAAGCUAAUCUCUGAAAGCCGAUCUCAGUUCGGAUUGGAGGCUGCAACUCGCCUCCAUGAAGUCGGAAUCGCUAGUAAUCGCGGAUCAGCACGCCGCGGUGAAUACGUUCCCGGGCCUUGUACACACCGCCCGUCACACCACGAGAGUUUGUAACACCCGAAGUCGGUGAGGUAACCUUUUAGGGGC